This 301-nucleotide ribosomal RNA is filed under the name uncultured bacterium. RNAcentral describes it as "partial 16S ribosomal RNA". It matches the Rfam family "Bacterial small subunit ribosomal RNA", at positions 509 to 807 of the family's 1533-position model. The record is from RNAcentral.
CAGUAGCCGCGGUAACACGUAGGGUGCAAGCGUUAAUCGGAAUUACUGGGCGUAAAGCGUGCGCAGGCGGUUCGCUAAGACAGAUGUGAAAUCCCCGGGCUUAACCUGGGAACUGCAUUUGUGACUGGCGGGCUAGAGUAUGGCAGAGGGGGGUAGAAUUCCACGUGUAGCAGUGAAAUGCGUAGAGAUGUGGAGGAAUACCGAUGGCGAAGGCAGCCCCCUGGGCCAAUACUGACGCUCAUGCACGAAAGCGUGGGGAGCAAACAGGAUUAGAUACCCCUGUAGUCCCUGUCUCUUAUAC